RNAcentral lists this ribosomal RNA (495 nucleotides) under uncultured bacterium. RNAcentral's name for it is "partial 16S ribosomal RNA". It matches the Rfam family "Bacterial small subunit ribosomal RNA", at positions 28 to 505 of the family's 1533-position model. The record is from RNAcentral.
GAUGAACGCUGGCGGCGUGCCUAAUACAUGCAAGUCGAGCGAACGGACGAGAAGCUUGCUUCUCUGAUGUUAGCGGCGGACGGGUGAGUAACACGUGGAUAACCUACCUAUAAGACUGGGAUAACUUCGGGAAACCGGAGCUAAUACCGGAUAAUAUUUUGAACCGCAUGGUUCAAAAGUGAAAGACGGUCUUACUGUCACUUAUAGAUGGAUCCGCGCUGCAUUAGCUAGUUGGUAAGGUAACGGCUUACCAAGGCAACGAUGCAUAGCCGACCUGAGAGGGUGAUCGGCCACACUGGAACUGAGACACGGUCCAGACUCCUACGGGAGGCAGCAGUAGGGAAUCUUCCGCAAUGGGCGAAAGCCUGACGGAGCAACGCCGCGUGAGUGAUGAAGGUCUUCGGAUCGUAAAACUCUGUUAUUAGGGAAGAACAUAUGUGUAAGUAACUGUGCACAUCUUGACGGUACCUAAUCAGAAAGCCACGGCUAACUACG